AACGAACGCUGGCGGCAGGCCUAACACAUGCAAGUCGAGCGAGACCUUCGGGUCUAGCGGCGGACGGGUUAGUAACGCGUGGGAACGUGCCCUUCUCUGCGGAAUAGCCACUGGAAACGGUGAGUAAUACCGCAUACGCCCUUCGGGGGAAAGAUUUAUCGGAGAAGGAUCGGCCCGCGUUAGAUUAGAUAGUUGGUGGGUAACGGCCUACCAAGUCUACGAUCUAUAGCUGGUUUUAGAGGAUGAUCAGCAACACUGGGACUGAGACACGGCCCAGACUCCUACGGGAGGCAGCAGUGGGGAAUCUUAGACAAUGGGCGCAAGCCUGAUCUAGCCAUGCCGCGUGUGUGAUGAAGGUCUUAGGAUCGUAAAGCACUUUCGCCAGGGAUGAUAAUGACAGUACCUGGUAAAGAAACCCCGGCCAACUCCGUG
This 432-nucleotide ribosomal RNA is filed under the name uncultured bacterium. RNAcentral describes it as "bacterial SSU rRNA". It matches the Rfam family "Bacterial small subunit ribosomal RNA", at positions 29 to 507 of the family's 1533-position model. The record is from RNAcentral.